Molecule: non-coding RNA, 81 nt
Organism: Myotis brandtii (Brandt's bat)
Lineage: Eukaryota; Metazoa; Chordata; Mammalia; Chiroptera; Vespertilionidae
Source: Rfam
AGGCCCAGAGAGAGAUGCUGGGCCUGAUCUGCAGCCUCCAUGGCAGCUAUUGAUCAGCUAUUGCCUCUCUCUUUCUUUCCU